This 107-nucleotide ribosomal RNA is filed under the name uncultured bacterium. RNAcentral describes it as "partial 16S ribosomal RNA". It matches the Rfam family "Bacterial small subunit ribosomal RNA", at positions 1379 to 1482 of the family's 1533-position model. The record is from RNAcentral.
CCUUGUACCACACCGCCCCGUCACGACCAUGGGAGCGGGUUCUGCCAGAAGUAGUUAGCCUAACCGCAAGGAGGGCGAUUACCACGGCAGGGUUCGUGACUGGGGUG